GCUGUCUUCCCAUCAUCUGUACGCUAGCCCAGGGAGGCUCUGCUAACCCUCCUUACCAUCCUUCACCGGCAGAAUGGUUUGAAGAGGAUGGUCCAGAGGAUGUUCUUCUUUCCUCUCAGUAGUCUCAUCCUGCUGCUCCCGGGAUGUCUCUGCCUCCUCUCGCUCUCUCUUGGCCUUCUCCACCGGCAGGUCUUCGCACAGUUGGCUUGCCAUCAUCAAUGCCG
Long non-coding RNA from Bufo bufo (common toad), 224 nucleotides. RefSeq lists it as uncharacterized. The record is from RefSeq and is a predicted model, not a curated record. Lineage: Eukaryota; Metazoa; Chordata; Amphibia; Anura; Bufonidae. The transcript has 3 exons.